UGUUCUGCUGCAGUAGUGGACCCUUCAUCCUACAUGACUGGUGUCCUUCCAAGAAGGGGAGAGAGAUCCAUGGGAGAAGGCAGCUCCGUGAAGACAGAGGCAGAGAUUGAAGCAGCUGUAAGCCAAAAGACCCCAAGAGUGAAUCUCUAAGAGUUUCAGAAGGAGCACGGCUCUGCCGACACCUUGAUUUUGCACUUCCAAACUUCUGAACUGUGAGACAAUCCGUUUUUGUUGUGUUAGGCCACCCAAGUUGUGGUACCACGCUACCCUAGAAAACUAACACAUCGAUUAGUCUAAUUUCAUCCUAUUCAGCAAAAACUAAGACCAAAAGGGUUAGACAACAUUCUGAAGACUGAAAGUACUAGAAAGGUUAAGAAUCAACUGUCUAUCUGUUCAAAGAAUAUUUAAUAAUUCCAUGUGUAAUGGAUUGCAUUACUCAGUUAACAAUAACAAAAUACCUCUUUAUAGACACAUUUCUUAAACAGCCCUUAUCAAAAUCAGCAUGCUGUACCCCUUAACUGUAUACAAUUUUUAUUUUUCAAUUAUAUAUCCAUAAAGCUGGCGAAAAAAAGAAAAAGAAACAACCUGGUUGAUAAAGUGAGAUUGGUGAAGAAGUGUAAACUGAAAAGCAAAAAAAUUUUAAUAUAUAUUUUUUAAGAGAGACAGAGACAGAGCAUGAGCACGGGAGGGGCAGAGAGAGAAGUUAGACACAGAAUCCAAACCAGGCUCUAGGCUCUAAGCUGUCAGCACAGAGCCCAAUGUGGGGCUCAAACUCAAGGACCAAGAGAUCAUGACCGGAGCCAAAGUCAGAUGCUUAAUCAACUGAGCCACCCAGGCGCCCCAGGAGGUGUAAACUUUGUAGCUGCCAAUAUUAAGACUGGGUCUACAGGGCAAUUUUGCUCCCUUGAGUUCAAAGAAAUCAGGCAAGUAGAUUCUUAACCCAUUCAAGUGCUCUUUCAUUGCUAUUUUCCCUGGAGGAGAAAAGGAAUGGGUGUGGGGGUGAAGGGGGUGAGCAAUGUUUUGAGUUGUUGACUUAAAUUUUCCAUGGAAUCAGCAAAACACAGGUAGGAAAGAAAAGUCAUAGUCUUGUAUUGGAUAUUAACAGUCUUAUUUGGGAGAAUUUAUCUAAUGUUUAAUUUAAACUUUGAAUCAAUUAACUAUGACUCAGUGGCUUAACAAAGAUAACUUAUCGUUGCCUGUAUCUGCAGGUCAGCUGGAGGUUGGGCUUGGCUGGAGUGGCUCUGCUUCAAGUGUCUUUCAUGCUCCUUAUACCAGCAGGACAGCUUCGGAGCAUAUUUUUCACGUAUCAGUGGAAGAGCCAUGAGAAGGCAAGUGGAAAGGUGUGAAGUUUUUUAAAGUCUAAACUGGGGACUGGCUCACACCUACUUGCAGCCAUGCGUCACUGGUCAGAGCAAGUAACAUGGCAUAUUAGUUUGCUAGGGCUUCUGUAACAAAGUAUCAGAGACUAGGCAUCUUAAAACAAUGGCAAUUUAUUUUCUCGCAGUUCUGGAAGCCAAAAGUGCCAAAUCAAGGUGUUGGCUUGGGCUGAUUCCUUCUGAAGGCCGUGAGGGAAAAGUUUGUUCCAGGCCUCUGUCCUUGGCUUGCAGAAAACCAUCUUUAUACUCACAAAGUGUUCUCCUUGUUCACAUGUCUGUCUUCAAAUUUCCCCUUUUUAUAAGGAUACUAAUCAUAUUAGAUUAGGGCUCACCCAAUCAUUUUAACUUGAUUACCUCUUUAAAGACCCUAUCUCCAAAUAAAGUCACAUUCUGAUAUAUUGGGAGUUAGAACUUCAACACAUGAAUUUUUUUGUUGGGGCAGGAGAGAGGCCACAGUUUAACCCACAAUAUACAUUCAAGCUCAAAGUACAGGGCUUAUAAACCCUCCUACAAUGAAGACAUGGCAAGAGUAUGAAUGUAGGAAGGGGUGAAGAAUGGGAGUGAGUCUUAAUAGUCUAAACUUCAUUUUUUUAAGUUUAUUUAUUUAUUUUGGAGAGAGAGAGAGAGAACAUAAGCAGGGAAGGGGCAGAGAGAGAGAGAAAGAGAGGGAGAGAGAGAGAGAGAGAGAGAGAGAGAGAGAUUUCCAAGCAGGCUGUGUGCUGUUGGUGCAGAGCAAGACGUGGGGCUUGGACUCACAAACUGUGAGAACAUGACCUGAGCUGAAAUCAAGAGUGGAAUGCUUAACUGACUUAGCUACCCAGGCAUGCCAGUAGUUUAAACUUUAAAUCAGGCACAGGGGUUGACAAACUAUGGCCCAUGGGCCAAACCUGGCCUGCUGCCUGUUUUGUUGUUUGUUUGUUUUUUAUAAAGUUUUAUUAGGUAACAGGAAUGUUCAUCUUUUAAUGUAUUAAUUGCACCUACUUUUGUGUCAUAACAACAGAAUUGGCUAGUUGUGACAAAAGGCUUUAUGGCCUGAAAAGCCUAAAAUAAUUAUUACCUGGCCUUUACAGGAAAAAAAAAAAGUGUUGAUCCCUGAUCUUGCCAGGGCAGCAAGGCUUAAAGAUUAACACUAGUAUACUUUUCCUGAAUCCAAGUAACUGGGAAAAUGUUUUGAAAGUGGCAAGCUUUGUGUUCUGGCGUCAGUUCAGCCAUUAGCUGACUCUGUGACCUUGUGUGAAACCCUUAGCGUCCCUGUUUCUAUUUUCUCAUAUAGAAAAUCAGGGAAUUGGUCAUGUGGCCUGCCUCACUUUGCUUCUUCUUAAUUAUAACCAAAUAGUAAACCUUCAGUGAGCAAAAAAUACUGCAGUGUAUUGUUCCCCCCAAAAGCCCCAGAAAACAAAUAGCAUAGUUGUAGAAAAAUAUAAUUUUCCCCCAUGGGCCUAUCUCUUAUUUAUUUAUUUAUUUAUUUUUAACGUUUAUUUAUUUUUGAGACAGAGAGAGACAGAGCAUGAACGGGGGAGGGUCAGAGAGAGGGAGACACGGAAUCUGAAACAGGCUCCAGGCUCUGAGCUGUCAACACAGAGCCUGACGCAGGGCUCCAACUCACGGAACGCGAGAUCAUGACCUGGGCCGAAGUCGGCCGCUUAACCUACUGAGCCACCCAGGCGCCCCUCUAUCUCUUACUUAUUUAUUUAUUUAUUUAUUUAUUUAUUUAUUUAUUUAUUUAUUUUUAAUUUUUUUUUUCAACGUUUUUUAUUUAUUUUUUUUUGGGACAGAGAGAAACAGAGCAUGAACGGGGGAGGGGCAGAGAGAGAGGGAGAUACAGCAUCGGAAACAGGCUCCAGGCUCCGAGCCAUCAGCCCAGAGCCUGACACGGGGCUCGAACUCACAGACCGCGAGAUCGUGACCUGGCUGAAGUCGGACACUUAACCGACUGCGCCACCCAUGCACCCCUCUAUCUCUUAUUUUAAUAGAAUAAAAGUUACAUUUUUUUUUUCUGAAUUGAAAUCUUGCUUACUCUGGAAUUAAAUGAGAUCUAAAAUCCUUUCUUUUAAUAUUAGGGUUCUACAAAAUCAAGUAUGAAGUGGGGAUAAUUAUAUGAGAUGCACUCUUAGACAGAAGUCAGCUUCUGUGACAGAAUUUUAGUAAAUCAACUUCUUAUCCCUUUUGGCCACUGUGGGAGUCAGAAUCUUUAGAUGGUGUCAGAGAGGCCAUCUGGGUCUGCUAUCCAUAAUAAUUCGAAGAGCUUAACUCAGGGUUUGAUGAAGGAACAGACGAAUGUAUUAAAUAAAGCUACAACUCCACCGGGAGUGGCAGAUGGAAAAGAUGUCCUCAAUGUUUUGUAGAGCUGCUGCUCAAGAAGUAGAGUCUCUUUUCCUAAUCCUUGAAUCUUGCUUUGAUCAGUAGAAUGUGGGUAAAGUGGUUUGCAAAGUGUGGAUCUUAGGCCUCAAAAGCCUUGCAGCUUGGGUUUUGCUGUCUUAGAAUAUUUCCAAAGACCACCGUGCAAGGAAACUGGUCCAGUAUACUGGAGGAUGAGAGGCCACAUGGAGGAGAACCAAGGUUGCCCAGGGUCCUAGCGCCAUGAGAGUGUGGCUGAGGAAAAAGUUGUGGUCCAAUGUGGAUCACUUUUUGUGUGCUCCACAUUUCUCUAGUCCCGUACCAGUUGCCCAAAAAUCUCUGCUUCAGGCUUUAUUUUAUAUAAAUGAUAGAAAGGUUUUUACUAUUUCCUUUUGCAUGAGCCCAAAUUAUAGUCUUUAAUUACAGAAUGUUUAUCAAUUGAUUUCUAUGGGAAUCUUUGCUCUCCUCCCAUGGCUGUGUGAAAUGCCAGCUAUAUGCUUUGGUUCAGAUGUGGCUUGCUGCAGUUCUCUGCAUCUCUAACAUGACCACGUGGUCCUCUGUCCCCUUUGCAAGAUCAGCACACCCUUCACUGUUGUGAUGGGAAGGAUGUUCAUACCCUUGGAGGGGAGAAUAAUUUCCUGCUUAUUGUCUACGCUGGAAAAAACAUCUCCUAUUGGGCUAAGAAUGUCACAUAGAUUUCAUUUUGUCUACUAACAGUAUCAGGAAACAUUGCCAGCCCACAUCUAGGCUUACCUGUAACUGAUAGGCAAUGUCCUUCCUGGAAAGGAAAAGGACCCUGUAUGUACCAAGUAUUUACUACCAUUAACCAUGAUGCUACUUUCUGUAGAAACAAUUACACAGUUCUUUUCUUCUAGUAGUAGCACUAGGGAAUUCCUAUUUAAUCACUUUGUACCUAGUAGGCAUCAUUUACAAAGUUAUAUUAGCCAGCCUAGAUAGAAUGUAAUGAAAUUCACUAAUAACUGACAUCAUAGAGAUGGUAAUCUGAUAAAAAGUGCAGAGGUUAUUAUUUUGGUCAUUCUUAUGUAUGCAAUUUCUUUAGUAAUCCUGUAUAAUAGUUGCUUAGUUAUCUAGUCCAUGGCAAUAUUUUUAUAAUCACAAAUAAUUUAAAUCUAUAAAAUAAAGCUACAACAGUAAAAUUGCAAAAGGCUGCAAGAGUUGAAUCGUGAAGUGAUAUACUGCAGGGUUUGGCAAACUAUGGCCAGUAGCCAGCGAGCCAAAUCCAUCCUGCCACGUGUUUCUGUAAAUAAAGUUUUACUGGGAUGCAGCCAGGUCCAUAUGUCUCCUCUGGUCUAUGGCUGGUUAUGCACUAGAGUGCCAGGAUCCAGUCGUGGAGGUGGAGACCAGCAGAGUUAAGUAGUCGUGGUAGAGACCUUACAGCCUGCAAAACCUGAGACAUUUACUAUCUGACCUAUUACAUAAAAAGUUUUCCAACCCCUGGUGAGUUGAAACAGUUGAGAAUCUAACAGUUAUUGACCACUUUCAUAUGCAGGGAACAGUGGUGGACAAAGCGCUUUGAAGGGCUCUUUUCUAUCCUAAAAAAAAAAAAAAAAAGACUGUAGCAGAAGCAGUGUUUUUUAAUUCUGUCUGAACAUUAAACUCAGCUGGGUAGAGUUGUUAAAAUUACUAAUACCAGGACAUAACCUGUGUGGGACAUGGGUAUUGUAUGUUUUUGAAAGCUGCUUAGCUGAAUCUAUUGUGCAGCAAUGUUACAAAGCAUUGAUCAAGGUUCUUAUUUUACACUUCAGCUCCUGUUCUUCUAGGGGUUAGAUAGUGUAGCUAUCCAGUUUGGUUUUUAGUGACUCAAACGUGGUAGAAAGUAAAUCUGAAAUAGCUUAACAAAAUAAAAAAUAAAAAUUUCAAGGAAUGUUGGGUGUUAAUUCAGACUGGGUGAACCUCUAAAAGUUCUAAGCCAAAAGAACUUUUACUGGCCUAAGAUCCUGGUUUGUAAGGUAUCAUCCUGCCACAAAUAUCCAGAUUUAAAAUAUAUUGGCAGGCUUACAAAAAAGUCACUGAAGUCUUUUUUUUUUUUUUUUGUGCCUUACUUUCUUACCACUCUCGAACCAUCUACUUCAGAAAAUAGAACUUCAGAUAGCUAUAUUCUGUUCUGCUGUAAGAAUUUUUUAAUAAAGAUUUUAGUUAAGUUGAUUUAUUUAUUUUGAGAGAGAGAGAGUGGGGGAGGGUCAGAGGGAGAGGGAGACAGAGAAUCCCAAGCAGGUUUCUCACUGUCAGCACAGAGCUUGACUUUACAAAUCGUGAGAUCAUGACCUGAGCCAAAAUCAAGAGUCAGAUGCUUAAUCGACUGAGCCACCCAGGUGCCCUUUGUUCUAAGAAUGUUUUUUUUAACAUUGGAAUACUUAGAAAGUUUGAGAGAAAUUGGGUAAAAUACAAGAAGAGUAAUUCUGGCUAGCUAAGACGACUUUUGCUAGUUCAAGUCGUGGCACAUUAUAGUGGAUAUUCCAGAAAUAGUGACUCAGGAAGCUCUGUCACAGCUCUGGUUUUAAGUAUGAUGAGGGUGUAUAGUCUUAUUGUCCCGUCUAGUGCAUCACUGAUUUUUUAUGGGUUUAAAUAAUAAUGUGAGUAAGUCACAUACCAAGAGUUUCCACAGAUAUCUGAAAGUAAGACUUGUGUGAAUAUUUGGAAUAUAUAGGCAGUAGCUAUUUAUAGAUGAAGAAACUCACACGUUAGGAUGUUUAUCCAAAAUAUAUAUCUCGAGAACUUCCUAGACAGGUUAGUGCACCAGUAGUAAAAAUUAUACAUUUAUAAUUUAGUAUCUUACCAACCCAACAGCUCGUUUGAGCAUAUGCAAAGAUGACAAUUUCCAUCCAUUUUGCCAAAAAUCACACUUUCAUCAGUCUGCAAAAUAUGUCUUGGCCCCACCCACCCUUUUUGGUGCCAAUUCUUCUUUGUUACUAUCUUCUCAAAGCCUGAAAUUUCCUCUCCCAGAAAACUAGGACAAACAUGGAAAUCUCUCCAGGAGAGAUACUCUUACAGAUCCUUAAAAAACUGCAAUUCAGAGAGAAUGUAAGGAUGAGAAGACUCCACUAUAUUUUUUAAAAAUUAUUCUUUUAUUCUCUUUAUACUCUUCUGCUCUCCUUUCCUAUAGAAUUGGCAUUGCCACCACCAUAAAAGCCAUUCUGACCCUCACGGCCCACGAAUUUCUGUUUUUACUGAGACUAGGUUUUCUUUAAAUGACACAUAAUACUUUUUCCCUUUGCUGAAUACUUCAAAGCCCUGGGUCUGCUUCCCUGAAUUGUCCCUAUCUUGGAGCAGGACCCCAGACUACCAGAAGCAAUAUUCCCCACAGUGAGAUAGAUAUGUAUUUUCUGACACACUCUAAUUCCCACUUUUAAAGAGAAAGUACUAAGAAGCACAAUGCAAAUAAGUAUGGUAUUAUACACAGGAAAGAAACGAAUAUUUAUUUAGUAUCUAAUCUACACAAGGCACUGGUAAGCACUUCACAUGGGUUAUUUCAUAAGAAACCGUCAUGUAGGUAUUAUUCGCAUUUUUACUGAUGAGUAGAUGAAUUUCUAAAGGUUACGCAGCUAGCAAACAAUCUGCUUUUUAUAGUCGUAUAUGGCUAACAAGUGAUCAAUUAACAUGAAGUAUAAAUCAGUGGAUUCUUAAUUAAUGAGCUUUUGCUCAUUAAAUUUGGAAGUCACUUUUUGUUUUCACAUAUGUGCCUCAGAACGUAUCAUUGGCUUUUACGGAUGGGCAAUUUCCACCUCAAUAUGAGGAAUAUAGGUGACUUUCCAAAAAUACCUAUGCACACCGAGCAGCUUCCGACUACUUCCGAAGAGUAAGUUAGGUCUCUUUAUGCCGUCAAUCCUCUGAACCUCAGCCCUUUUUCUUUAGUUGAAGGGUGCAACUUUGAAAAUUACUGCAGUUUGAUGUCUUACAACUUAUUGCAGUUCUCUGCAAGUUCAGACAUUUUCUGAGGUGAACCGAGAGUACAAAUGUAGCUAAGUGUUAAUUAAAAAGAACAUCUUGAGUGUAAACAUUAAAAAUUGAUCACCUUCUGUGAGCAAUUUAAUUUAUGAGCAUUAACAUAUUCUAAGCUGAUGUCUUGAAUUUUACUAGAACGUCUCUUGCCGCAUAAUGAAGGGGAAGAAGGAAGAACCCUUAACAUGAAUACAUUGAAGUGUCUCUUUUCUCAGUCACCAGGGGUGUGCCAAUUCUAAGGCCAGAGAGGCAGCUCCUCCAGCAUGACUCCAACAGCAGCAGCUGCCAACAGCAGCCACAGCCCCGGGAGCCCUGGCCCCCCACAGGCGGGUUCAUGCUGUCAGUCCUGCACCACAGUAAUCAUUUCUGGCAAAGCGGGAGAUCUGCGGAGUGACUCUGGCAGCUUUCCUCUCCUUUUGGGUUAUACUAAAUCAUUAAUGAAUGUAUUUAUUUCUUGAAUUUUUAGCUUGUUCAGUAAGGUGCAGCAGAGUGUGCAUAUGAGAGAAUGGAGAAAAGAAUAAAUUACAUUGCAUUGCCGUAGUCAGCCAGCUAUCUCCAUGAGCCUAAUUAAGGGAAUAAUCUCACCCCCCACCCCCCUUAGUUCCAGGGUCUGUUUUCAAUGUCUUCUUGAGCCUGAUAUACAUUUUGAAAAUGCCACUAAAUAGAAUUAUAUGGUCUAAAAUGUGACGCUGGUGAAAUUUCUUGUGGGUUUCUCUUUAGGUCCUUCUAAUACUCACUCCUUGGAGCCCAUUCCUCCUCACAGAGGUCUAGUGUCACAGAACUUUCCUGAGGCUCCCUGGCUGCCCCAAAGCUCCUGAACUUUCUUCCUGUCUCUUCUACUUUUCUAUCGAAACUCAUUGAUUCUCUGUUCCAUUCCUUUAGUGUUCCAUGCUAAUAGGAUAUCUGAUUUGUUAAUCCGUGACCAGAUUAGCAGUUGUUAUCAGUUGACAGUGAUAACGCAAGGAGGUACAAAAGUGCCUGCUCUCAGCAAGAUUAAGUGAUUUCAAUUUUGAGAGAUGGGGAAUCUUCAAUAUCAUAUUGCAUAGACAGUUACUUUGCACACAGAAUUGAGUCUACUGUCUCGGUAUAUUAUUUCACGCUUAAUCUUUGUGUGAGAUAGAAGUUCAGAAAAAUCCUUAAAUAGAUUUAUCUUAUAAGAACCAAAAAAAUAGGGUUUCUGAAUGGCCUUGGAAAAAAAAUUCUAGAAUUGUUUCUUUCGCUUCCUAUACUAAUAUUUUAAUGAAGAAAUUCUGGUUCAUGAACACAAAUGUUAAGACUUCAUAAAUGAUACCAGUCCACCUUCCAGGCAACAAAUAGUAAUACUUAUACUUUAAUUUUUUUUAAUGUUUAUUUAUUUUUGAGAGAGACAGAGACAGAACGUGAGUGGGUUGUGGCAGAGAGAGAGGAAGGCACAGAAUCCGAAGCAGGCUCCAGGCUCCGAGCUGUCAGCACAGAGCCUGACAUGGGGGUCGAACUCAUGAGCUGUGAGAUCAUGACCUGAGCCAAAGUCGGACGUUCAACCGACUGAGCCACCCAGGCGCCCUGGCAAUACUUCUACUUUAAAAUAAAGCUUUAGUUAAUAGCUCAUUGAAGUAAAAAUGUAUUGAGUGGUGAUGGCCUCUGGCUUAUUUUAGCAGGUGACUUAGUGGAGGGCUGGCAGGUACAACACUGUUGGUAUCAUUCCUCAAAGAUGGACACAAAAGAACAAGACUGUAUCCCAAAUGGAAUUCUCAGUGACCAAAAAUAUAAUGGAGUUUAAAAGAGGUAGGUUAGUUUUAUUAGAUUGUCAAGAAAAUAAAGAAAAUAAAGUGUGGUGAAUGUUAACAUAAAUUUAAUCAUCAGUGAAAUAUUAAAAUAAAUAGUAUUUUAAAUGUUCCAAUCCAAAUUUAUUAUUUCUUUGGUGUAUUUUAGGGUAUGGAGCACAAAAUUAUUUCUGUCCCCUGUAUCCUAUAGCUUUCAGGACCAAUCUCAUAGAAGUACAGGAUAUUUUUAAUUUAAAAAGUACAUAGCUGCAGUUUUCUGUGUUUUAUUUUUUGCUGAGGACUCUGGUAUAUUUAAGAGAAGAAAGAAUCUGGAUAGAAAUGGUAUUUCUAUCAUUUGACGGAUACCUAUGUGUGUUGUUGCUGUAACUAUUUCCAGAUAUUUUUGCCAAAUUUCAAAAAAUAUGCAUUUAUCCACUGCAUCAAAAAAAAAAAAAAGAAAAAUUUGGCAUGAUUUAAGGGUCUUGAAAAAUCUGAUUAUGGUAUUAACUUAUCAAAAAUUUGCAUGUUAAAAUUAAACUCUAGCUGAGCAAUAAAAUUUAUGCUGUGAUUCUGAUUCUUCAAGAAAGAUAAUUAAAUUCUUAAUUUUCCUGCGAGCAUUUUCCAUUUGGUAACUCGAGGGACUGGGGCUGGAGCUGGAGGCCGAUGACGGUGGCACUGGCAUGGGGGACAGGAUUCAGAGGGAGCAGGAAUCAGAGUAGAGGAAUGUGGAGUGGUGCCAGAAUGACAUUCCAGAUACCAAACCAGUCACUUUGUAGCUAAUCAGCCUUGGAACACCACUACAAAAUGGGGAUAAUAAUACCCGCUUCACAGAAAUAGCAGGAGGGCCAGAGGAAACCAUGUGAGGAACUGUCACAUAAAGUAUUAUACAAAUGAGUUAUUACAACUUGGGGAACAGCAGGGGAAGAUAGGACAAGGACAAGUCAAUUUUGUCCUCCCCAUCCCCAAACCCACUAAACUAUCUUGGUCACGGAUGGUGUGUGCAUGGAACAGAAAUUUAUUCAGAAUAUCUGUAUUAAUGAGGAUGCUUUUAGUUAUGAUGGAAAGCAACUCAUUUAAUUUUAGAAACAAACGAAUUUAUUGGCCCAUGUAACUAGAAAGACUUAGAGACUGUUAAAAAGAUGUCAUCAGGAAUCUUUGUCUCUUUCAGAGCCUCUUGGCUCUGCUAUCCUCUGUGGUGUCUUCAUGCUCAGGCAAGCCCUUUCCAAGUGUGGCAAGAAUGGUCCCAGCAGCUCCCACCUUAUCAGGAUUUUUGUGCCUGAGAUCCCAAGACAGAGACCCUCUCAAUUCUAUCAGUCCCCACAAAAUGAUUCUGUAUCACCUGGAGAAGAAAGGACAGUUCCUAAAAUGACAGCAUUUGAAAGAUUAUGGGGGGAACAAAAUGUAUCAGAUAUUUAGUAUGCUGGUUCAAAUGAAAAUAGAUCUUAUUCUUGAAGAGAUAAAGAGGAAUCUCACAGAUAUCAAAAGGCACGAAAUAAGAUACAACUGGGCCACAAAAGGACUGGAUCUGGAAAGUCUGACCUAGGGCUAGAUCAGGUUGGGUUCCCCAGUUUUAUGUUCCCAUAGCAUCCUGAACUUUGCCUAUCAUAACAUUUGUGAAACUUCAUCAUAAUCACUUUCUAUCAGUCCUUUCUGUAGGACUUCAAGCCCCAUGAAAGCAUAGACUUUUAUUGUCUCAUUUGCUGUUGAAUCCUCCACGUCUAUGGUAGCAGAGAUCCUAGUAGGUUCAGCAAAUAUUUGAAUGGAUAGAUAGAUAAAUGAGGCUGCUCUCUCCAUCUCUAUGGUACUAAAUAAUCUGUCAUCCCUGCACGUUUGCUCCAUUUAUCUGCUUCUUUGUGUUAUGCAUGGGCACUUCUGUUCUCUCAAGGUAUGUUUGUCAUUGGCUUCGUCCUGCUAUAGCAAUGGCUUGGCCAUGAGUUUGUAUGUUCUUUGGCCCCACAGUCUCUCAGAUUCCCAAGUUCAAAUUUAAGAAAGAGAAUAAAAUUAGACAGAUUUGGGUCCAUUGUCCAUGACUUCUCUAAGCAACUUCAGAUGGUGGUGGAGAUGGGUUGUCACAGGCUAUAUAGGGUUGUGUAAACCUGUGUCUUCAGUAAUAGCUCUAGUUCUAAGUAUAUUCAUCCCUCAACACUCAAGUGAUUUACAGAGGAAAAAUGAUAUAAUAAAUUUGUCUCAAGUCAGACUUAAGUAAGUAUGAUGCAUCCCAGUCCUUACAAGUCCUCCUAUUGUCUUAUACACCAUAAGUGCCUACAACUUGAAUAUUGUCUAAGUCUACUGUAGGUAGUAUCUAGAUCUUUCUUGUAUCAUAACUAUGAUACCUCCUGUCAUCUAUUCAUAUACUCAUUCAAUAAAUAGUCCCUGCAAUAGACUCUAGACUCCAAUCUCGAGAAGUAGAGGAAGAUACAUAUGAAGUAAAUGAUGUUGACUAUAUCCUUGAGAUCAUUCAGUCAGUAUUGGUUGAGCUUCGAGCCCCUAGUACAUGUUAGAAGCUAUGCCAGAAGCUGGGAGUGAAGAAGGUAGACAGUCCCUGUUUGUACAAGCAUACAUUAGUGGGAAAGAUAAAUAAUUUAAAUAAUUAUUAUAACAUGUCAGGAGAUCUGUGAUUUAGGGAGAAGACGUAAGGAGGCAAAAAAGAGGGGGAUAUAACCUCAACUUGGGGACUAGGGAAGCCUUCCUGAGAAAGUAGCCUGACUGUGGGCAUGGAAACGAGAGAAUUGGAGGGAAGUGUAUUCCAAGCAGGGAAUAUCAUGUGCAGAGGCUAGAGGAACUGUAAGAAAUACAUAAAUGUUCUCUCUCUCUCUCUCUCUCUCUCUCUCUCUCUCUCUCUCUCUCUCUCAUACACCAGGGUUUUCGGAGAGUCAUUUUCAUUUUAAGAUAUGAUAUCAUUUCUUAAUGAUACAUUUCUAUUAUAUGUAGUUUCACCAUGCUUUCCUCAUUUGACUAUAUAUAUUGGGCAUCCCUCCAAUCAAUUAGUGAAGAUCUAAGUCAUUCUUUCAAUGGUUUGCACAGUAUUCUGUAUUGUAGAUGCACUGCAAGUUGUUCAGCUAUUCCUGAAUGGUUGGAUCUUUCUUUGUUCCCAUCUUUGCCACUAAAACAGUGUUACAUAAACAUCAAUUCUUAUUUAUGCUGGAAAAUUUUGUUUUCUAGGAUUGCUGCUGCUGGACCUAACACAUGUGUAUUUUAAAUUUUAAUAGACAUACCAGUUGUUUUCCCCAAAUAGUAUAACAAUUUGUAUUUUUACCAAUUUGUUUGAAGGUAACUUUUUAUGGGAUCCCUAACAACAGCAGAUAUCAUCAUCAUUUUAAAUUAUUGUUAAUUAUGUGAUUGUUAGUUAAGUUAUAUUUCCCUGACUUCUAUGGAGGUUAAACCUCCUUUCAUGUGCAUACUAAUGAUUUAAUUUGCCUUUCUGAGAAUUGUCUAUUCUUAUUGCUUCCCUUUUAUGUUUUUACAAAUUUCUGUGAGAUCUUUGUUAAAUGAAGAUAUUAAUCUGUUAUAUAUGUGCAGGAUUUCCCCAAGACACAGCACCAAUAGGAUGAAGAGAAAGAUAGAUAGAUAGAUAGAUAGAUAGAUAGAUAGAUAGAUAGAUAGGGACAAGAUCAGAUUUCUUACAGGAAUCGACUCACAUGUUAUGGAGGCUGAGAAGUCCCAUGAUCUACUGUCUGCAGGAAAGCCAGUGGUGUAAUGGAGUUUGAGCCGAAAGGCUAGGAGGUCCAAUGCCUAAAGGCAGUAAAAGAUGAACAUGCCAGGUCAAGAACAAAGAGUUCACCCUUCCUCUGACUUUUUGUUUUAUUCUCACCCUCAAGUAUUGACUCAUGUCCACCCACAUUGGUGAGGGCAGAUCUUCGGUUAGUCUACUGGAUUCAAAUGCUAAUCUCUUCUGGAAACAUCUUCACAGACACAUCCAGAAAUAAUGGUUUACUAGCUAUCUGGGCAUUGGUCAAGUUGACACAAAGAAGUCACCAUCACACUUAGUUAAAUAUAUCUGUCUUUACUUUUAGAGCUUUGGAGCUUUGGGCUUUCUACUUGGUUUAAAGUCUUCCCAACCCUGAAUUUUCCUUUUUAUAAAAGAGUUAUUAUUUUUACAUGUAAGUUUUGUAUCCAAUUUAGAAUUCUGCUUCAGGAUUGUAUGAGAUAGGGGUCUUACUUUAUUUCUUUCAGAUGGAUAAUAAAUGUGACAUUAUUCAUUGUUUAAGCUAUACCUUUUUCACAGAAUCGAAACACUAUCUUUAUAAUAGAUUAAAAUCUCCAACAUAUUAGUAUGUAUUUUAGGAUUUUUUCUUCUAUUCCACUGAUAUAUUUAUCCAUUUCUGUGUCAAUACUAUACUAUUUAAUUACAGUGGCUUUAUUAUAUAUUUUUAUAUCCAGUUAGGCAAAUCCUCAUCUUCAUUUUCCUUAUAAAUGACUUUCCUCAUUAUUCUUGGACAUUAAUUCAUCUUUGCUGAAUUAUUUAUUUAUUUUAUUAUUAUUUUAUUUUAUUUUAUUUUAUUUUAUUUUAUUUUAUUUAUUUAUUUUAUUAUUAGUUUUUUUAAAUUAAAGUUAGUCAACACACAAUGUACUAUUGGUUUCAGGAGUAGAAUUCAGUAAUUCAUCACUUCCGUACAACACCUAGUGCGCAUCCCAACAAGAGUCCUCCUCAAUGCCUGUCACCCAUAUAACCCAUCCCCCCACCCACCUCUCCUCCAGUAACCAGCUUGUUCUCUAUAUUUGAGUCUCAUAUGGUUUGCCUCCCUCUCUGUUUUUAUUUUAUUUUAUCUUUUCUUCCCUUCUGUUUACAUCUGUUUUGUUUCUUUUUUUUUUUUUUUUAACGUUUAUUUUUGAGACAGAGAGAGACAGAGCAUGAACGGGGGAGGGUCAGAGAGAGGGAGACACAGAAUCUGAAACAGGCUUCAGGCUCUGAGCUGUCAGCACAGAGCCCGACGUGGGGCUCGAACUCACGGACCGCAAGAUCAUGACCUGAGCCGAAGUCGGCCACUUAACCGACUGAGCCACCCAGGCGCCCCUGUUUUGUUUCUUAAAUUCUACAAAUGUGUGAAAUCAUAUAUUUGUCUUUCUCUGACUGACUUAUUUUGCUUAGCGUAAUACACUCUGGUUCCAUCCACGUUGUUACAAAUGACAAGAUUUUAUUUUUGAUCACCGAUUAAUAUUCCAUUGUGUGUAUAUAUGUCAUAUCUACUUUAUCCAUUCAUCAAUCCAUGGACAUUUGGGCUCUUUCCCUAAUUUGGCUAUUGUUGAUAGCUCUGCUAUAAACAUUAGGGUGCAGGUGCCCCUUCGAAUCAGCAUUUUUGUAUCCUUUGGAUAAAUAUCUAGUAGUGUAAUUGCUGGGUUUUAGGGUAGUUCUUUUUUUAAUUUUUUGAGGAACCUCCAUAUUGUUUUCCAGAGCGGCUGUACCAGUUUGCAUUCCUACCGGCAGCGCAAAAGUGUUCACCCUUCUCUGCAUUGUCUCCAAUAUUUGUCGUAUACUGAGUUAAUUUUAGCCAUUGUGACAGGUGUGGGGUCGUAUCUCAUCGUGGUUUUGACUUGUAUUUCCCUGAUGAUGAGUGAUGUUGGGCAUCUUUUCAUGUGUUUGUUAGCCGUCUGGAAGUCUUCUCUGGAAAAUUGUCUAUUCUUUUCCCCAUUUCACUGGAUUACUUGUUUUUUGGGUGUUGAGCUUGAUAAGUUCUUUAUAGAUUCUAGAUACUAACCCUUUAUCUGAUAGGUCAUUUGCAAAUAUCUUCUCCCAUUCCACCUGUUGCCUUUUAGUUUUGCUGAUUGUUCCCUUCACUGUGCAGAAGGUUUUUAUCUUGAUGAGGUACCAAUUGUUUAAUUUUGCUUUUGUUUCCCUUGCCUCUGGAGACAUGUCAAGUAAGAAGUUGCUGCAGCUGAGGUCAAAGUGGUUGUUGCCUGUUUUCUCCUCUAGGGUUUUGAUGGUUUCCUGUCUCACAUUUAGCUUUUUCAUCCAUUUUGAGUUUAUUUUUGUGUAUGGUGUAAGAAAGUGGUCCAGAUUAAUUCUUCUGCAUGUUGCUGUGCAGUUUGCUCAACACCAUUUGCUGAAGAGAUUUUUUUUCCACUGGAUAUUCUUUCCUGCUUUGUUGAAGAUUAGUUGGCCAUAUGUCGGUGGGUCCAUUUGUGGGUUCUCUAUCCUGUUCCAUUGAUCUAUGUGUCUGUUUUUGUGCCAGUACCAUACUGUCUUGAUGAUUACAGUUUUGUAAUACAGCUUGAAGUCCAGAAUUGUGAUGCCUCCAGCUUUGCUUUUCUUUUUCAACAUUACUUUGGCUGUUCGGAGUCUUUUCUGUAUUCCUUGAUUUCUCUUUCUGCUGCUUCAUUAUUGAUGUAUAAGAAAUACAACAGAUUUCUGUACAUUGAUUUUAUAUCCUGUGACUUUGCUGAAUUCGUGUAUCAGUUCUAGCAAUUUUUUGGUGGAGUCUUUUGGGUUUUUCAUGUGGACUAUCACAUAGUCUGCAAAGAGUGAAAGUUUGACUUCUUCCUUGCAAUUUGUAUGCCUUUUAUUUUGUUGUUGUUGUUGUUGUCGUUGUUGUUGUUGUUGUUGUCUGAUUGCUGAAGCUAGGACUUCCAGUACUAUGUUGAACAACAGUAUUUAAGAGUGGACAUCCCUGUCAUGUUUCUAACCUUAGGGAGAAAGCUCUCAGUUUUUCCCCAUUGAAGAUGAAAUUAGCUUUAGGUCUUUCAUAUAUGGCCUUUAUGGUGCUGAGGUAUGUUCCUUCUAUCCCUGCUUUCUUGAGGGUUUUUAUCAAGAAAGAAUGUUGCAUUUUGUCAAAUGCUUUUUCUGCAUGUACUGAGAGGAUCAUGUGAUGCUUAUCCUUUCUUUUAUUAAUGUGGUGUAUCACAUUGAUUGAGUCGUGGAUAUUGAACCACCCCUACAGCCCAGGAAUAAAUCCCACUUGAUAAUGGUGAAUAAUGUAUUCUUUUAAUGUAUUGUUGAAUUCAAUUUGGUAGUAUCUUGUUGACAAUUUUUGCAUCCAUGUAUUUCUUGGAUGCCUGCAUUUCUCCUUUUUAGUGGGGUCUUUGUCUGUCUUUGGAAUCAAGGUAACGCUGGCUUUAUAGAAUGAGUUUGGACACAUUCCUUCCAUUUCUAUUUUUUGAAACAGUUUGACUGUUCUUUAAAUUAACUCUUCUAUUAUGUCUGGUAGGAUUCCCCUGGGAAGCCCAGGACUCUUGUUUGUUGGCAGAUUUUUUAUUAUUGAUUCAAUUUCUUUGCUGGUUAUGGGUCUGUUCAAAUUUCCCAUUUCUUCCUGUUUCAGUUUUGGUAGUUUAUAUGUUUCUAGGAAUUUAUCCAUUUCUUCCACAUUGCACUAUUUUUUGGCAUAUAAUUGAUGAUAAUAUUCUCUUAUAAUUGUAUUUCUGCAGUGUUGGUUGUGAUCUGUCCUCUUUCAUUCAUGAUUUUAUGUAUUUGGGUCAUUUUCUUUUUCUUUUUGAUAGGUCUGGCUAGGGGUUUAUCAAUUCUGUUAAUUCUUUCAAAGAACCAGCUCCUAAUUUUAUUGAUCUGUUCUAUUUUUUUUUAAUUUCAAUAUCAUUCAUUUCUGCUCUAAUCUAUUAUUUACUUCUUCUGCUGGUUUUGGGGUUAUUUGCUGUUCUUUUUCCAGAUCCUUUAGAUGUAAGGAUGGGUUGUGUAUUUGAGACAUUUCUUCCUUCCUCAGGAAGGCCUGGAUUGCUAUAUAUUUCACUCCUUUGACCGCCUUUGUUGCAUCGCAAAGGUUUUGGACUAUUAUGUUUUCAUUUUCAUUGGUCUCCAUGUAAUUUUUUAUUUCUUCUUUAAUCUCUUGGUUAACCAAUUCGUUCUUUUUUUACUGUCUAUUUUUGAGAGAGAGGGGAGGGAAGGGGCAGAGAGAGGUAGAUAAAGUAUCUGAAGCAGGCUCUGUGCUGUCAGCACAGAGUCUGACACAAGGCUCAAACAUGAUUUUGAACAAUUCUUGAUAUCAUAGAGUAAAUACUACUUUAUCAUAGGGAAUUGUUUUCUUUUGGUACAAUGCUGAAGUCUAUUUGUUAAUAUUUUAAUAAGAAUUUUUGUCUCUCAAUUCAUGUUUUAUAUUUUUCUACAGAUGUUUAUAUCAUAUCGUUAUCAUACUUUAUUCUUUUAUCUUACUGUGGUAACUGUUAAUUUAUUCUAAGAUUUCUUUAUUCCUUUUCCUUAUUUUUUGGUGACUUGGUGAUGUUACUAUUAAUUGCCUUCUCACCUCUGCCCCUUGCAUUAAUUUAGAAGUUCUCCUGAAGUUUUCCAUUCAGCUAGUAGUUAUACAUCUCUCAACACUCACAAAUGCCUAUUUGUAUAUUAUUGUAUGAGAAUAAGAAAUUAUUUCCCCCAAUUACCCCAAGACUUUUGCCCCAAUCCAACAGGCAUUUUAGAAUGUUUUUACGUUUCUCAUGCUAGUCUCCCCCAUAUAAAUGGAACAGGCAGAAAACUUUUACCUUACCCCUUUCAUCACUACCACCCCACCUCCUUGGUUUUGUUGAGAUAAAUUUUACUUUCCAAACUGUUAGGUUUUCACUUGCAGCAUAACCGUUUUCUUUUUUUUUUUUAAGAAUCCUUAUUUAGGGUAUAUUUAACACUCCGCAUUAUUAUCCAUUUAAAUUUAAGUAUGCAUGUUGCAAGGUUAAAAAUCACUGCUGUUCCCUUUUAUCUUCAUCUUUCCUUUUCUUGAGGUCUUUCCUCUUAUUAAUUUGUGGUUUGGUUGUAGGUAUAUUUCCAGUAUUCUUUUCAGUGGGAGUUAUCUGAAUUCCUGCUUUUUGGAAAAUAUCUUUCCUUUAAUCUCCUGGUAAGUUGUAUCUUGAGGGACUUUAGGAUUCUUGGGUUACUUUCCUUUUCUCUCUAGAUUAGGUGAUAGUAAUCUAUUAUUUUCUGGGUUCCUCUGUUAUGUGGAGAUGAGAAUUCAAGGCUCUCUAAUACUUUGUUUUUAGCUUCUCUUAAGUUCAGAAAUUUUACUUGAGUAUGUUAAAUGUGCAUCCUGCUUGGAACUCAGCAAGCCCUUCCGAUCUGUUAUCUUCCAUCAACUCAGGGACAUCAGUUUUCUUUUCUGUGCAUAAUUACCAUCUCUCAUCAGUCUGUAACUUUUUUCCUGGAAUCCCUGUCAUUUUUGCAUCAUGUAUCCUAGGUCUGUCCAGCCAGUCUCAUGCUUUCUCUCAUAAUUUCUAGCCCUUUGAAUGGAAGUUUUUCAGUAAUGGCUUCCACUUGAUCUUCCAGGUUAUUCAUUUGGGUCUCAUUUUUUAAAACACACAAAAAAACACAAACCAUGGAUUUGUGUCCCUUUGUGUCUUUUUCAGGGGAUGGAGAGUUCGGUGAAAUUAACUUGCCCCGUGUUCUGCCAUUAACUGUUGUUGGUAGUCCUAUUACUGCUGCCUCUGCCUAGAUAUAAAUUUCCGUACCUAGGUAUCUAUAUGUAUCUAGUAGACACAUAUCUAGUAAUAGCAGUAGUAGUAAUACUAGGAGUACUUCAGCUUGGGUUGAUAGCUGUCUCCAUCUGCAGUUUCGUUGCGCUAGAAAUCCUUUCUUCUGGAUGUUUUAAACCAAGCUUCCUCUCUCUGGUUGCUGUGUCAUCCUUGGAUAAGUAUAUUGUUUUCUGCACACCAUCACUGGGGCUCGGGUCCUGCUGCUGGGAUACUAAAUUUCUCUACUUCCAGGUCUCCUCAGCUUUAAAGGAAAGCACUUGGUUAGUCUCACAGGCAAGGAGGGUUCGAUACCAGAGAAUUAGUUGUUGUAGGGGGGUAUGAAAUGCAACUGAAUGAAACUUAAACUAAAGUAUUCAUUUCUAAAAAUUGAAGAGUAAGUAUCAAAUAAUUUCCACUUAACAUUGUUCUAGAUGUGCUACUGAGACUGCAUAGCUUUUAUCUGCAUAUUACGGGCUCCUAAACAAAGCACUGAACUCCAGCAACCAGUUCAAACCCAGCCUCCACUGCUAACAACUGAGGAUGGGCUGUUCCCUAACCUCAGCAUGCCCCAGUUUCUGCAUCUUUAACAAGGGAUAAGAAUACUUGUCCUACUUCCCUCAUAGACUUAUUUGGUGACUAAAAUGAGAUGACAGAACAAAUUUUAAUGUGGUGUGAAAUACAAGGUAUUGACAUUAUCGUAGGACAUCAGCCUUAGUUUAUUUUAAAUAUGAAAAUACAUUCUUUCUUAUGUGAGGUUUUGAUAUCUUACAUACCUAUAUCCUACUGUUAAAGUCUUCUUGCUCCUUUAUGUUAGUCUGCAAAUAAGAAAAAAAUGACAAAAUUAAUUUGUGCUAAAUUUUUACUCUGUGGCAAGUACACUUUUGUGUGAAUCAUUUCAAAGAGGUAAAGAUUAUCCCCAUUUUUCACAUAAGGAAACAUUAGCAAGUGCCGGCUCAAGAAUUUGAAGCCAACUCUCCACAGGGUGCGUGGGCGGCUGGAUCGCUUAAGCAUCUGACUCUUGAUUUCAGCUCAGGUCAUGAUCUCAGGGUUCCUGAGUUCCAGCCCUGUGUCAGGCUCUAUGCUGACAGUGUGGAGCCUGCCUGGGAUUCUGUCUCCUUCUCUGUCUGCCCCUCCCUGCUUGCUCUCUGUAUCUUUCUCAAAAAUAAACUUAAAAAAAAAUAAGAAUUUGAACACAACUCUCUUGAUUUCCAUGUCUUGUUGGUACUUGCUCUGCAGUCACCCGAGCUCAUUAGUAGCUCCCUUCCUCUGAUGUCCCGUGUGCCCCAUUAUUAGGGUCUGUUCCACCUUUGUUCAUGUUUGUUUGCAUGGCUUCCUUAGAAUUGCUCUCCAAUUAUCAUUAUUAUUAUUAUUACAUUAUUAUUAUUAUUAUUAUUAUUAUUAUUAUUAUUAUGCCUCAUCGCCUCAGUUAUACCCUGUCUUCAUUACAUGUCCCUCUCCACCUGUGCUUUCUCUCUCCUCCCCUUGACAGGCAAACUUAGUGAAUCCAUUUCUAUACUUGGUCUCUCCUCUUCUUCCCACUCUUUCUCCUCUCUAAUCUGUAUUCUAUUCUUACUGCUUCAUUGACACUGCUCUCUCCAAGGUCACCAGUAGCCUCCAUGUCCCUAAAAUGAGUGAACACUUUUCACUUAUUAUCCUAUUUUAUUUUUCAGCAGUAUUUUACAGUGUUAACUGCUCCUUACAUUUUUCUAUACGUUUUACCCUCCUGAUUGGUCUUGUCCCUUCCAGUAGAAUUUCUUUUUCUUCUCCAAAGACUCUUUCGUUCUCUAAUGUUUUAAAGAUGGGUUUUCCUCUGAGUUCUGGUUAUUUGUACUCAAUUCAUUCUCCCAGGGGAAUGGUAGCAUUGUGAUCUAUAUGCUGGUGAUACCAGAAUCAUUUACCCCAGAUUUUUCUGCUGACCUCCAAACAUGAACGUCCAGACCAGCAGCCAUCUCCAUUUAGAGGCCUCAAGGGUGCCUCAACUUCACAAGGUCUACAAUUGAAUAUUCUAUGCCCUGUUUCUCUAGUUCAGUAGAUGAAAGCACCACCUACCCAACUGUUCAGAUCAAAAGCCUGGAAGUUUUCCUUGACAAAUCAUCCUUCUCCUUCAUCACCCACCUUCAAUUGGCCCCUAAAAUUUUGAUAAGCAUCUCUCAAAUCUAUCUUCUUUCCUUCAUUGCUAUAGCCACCAUCUAGUCCAGGCGACCCUUGCCUGCUUGGUGCUCUUGUUUCCCUUGAAUUCGUCACUCGGUAUCCAGAAUGAGCUUCCUGAAGUACAGAUCCUGAGGGGACCAGCAAGCAGCUGGGGGCCUAGUUGGGUCUUUCAGGUCCAGAUGGGGAGAGUUAACACAGUAGUUCUUUCCAUCUGGACUUACAAGGUUGGAGCCAAGAGAGGGAAGUUCAGAACACAAUGACUUGGGAUUCCUGAGGUCAAGAGAUUGGUAGAUUGUGAUUUUCUAAAAGGAUCUGAUGCUCAUUCUGGUCCCUGGAGGAAUUAUAGGAAAGCUGAACAGGUGGUUUAUAUCCUUCUUGCCUCUGAGACUGGCCAAGCGUGAGCCUUUGCAGCUAAAGAGAUACAGGAACAGAGAGAUUUAGUCCUGCUACUAAACAGCAGGACCUGAGACCCAGUGAUAGAAGAUUAACCUAUAUAAAAUGAGUUUUUCUUUUUUCUUUCUAUUUCUUUUUCUGCAACAUCAGAAUUUAUUGCUACAUUUAUUUCCAGUCAAGUCAUGGUAAUAGGUUUUAGUUCCAGGUAAAGGGCAUCAUUGCCAAUUAGAUGCCAUGCGAUGCAUGCCUUAGCAUAUAGAUGCCACCUUCACCCCUUCUCCUGUCUCCUUAUGAAGAAGCCUCUCUAUUUCUCUUUUUCUCUGAGCCUUAUGUAGUCCUCAGCAUUAGUCCGACAGAUUUUGAAAUGUAAAGGUCUAAUGCUUUUCUUUUUGAAACUACCCUUUUGUAGUCUAAAAUCAUGUCAGGCCUCCAACAUCUCCCAUAGGAGCUUUAACAAUUGCUUGUUUAACUAGCCUCCCAGUGUACAUCCCAUUCAAUCUACCCUCCUCUUUGCCUCCAGAAUCCUCAUUUUGAUCUGCAGAUUGGAUCCUUGCUUAAUACUUCAACAGCUAUCCUUUGCUUGCAGAUUGGACCCUUGCUUAAUACUUCAACAGCUAUCCUUUGCUUAUAGAAAGAAGUGCAGAGGCUUAGAUUGGCAAACAAAGUCCUUCACCACCUCUUCUACCUGCAUUGCACUCUAUCGUCUAUGUUGGACUACUUGGAGUCCCAGCGUACAUUAUCAUUGCUCCAUUCAUCUACACUUUUGAAUACCUUUUUGUCUUCUUAGAGUUCUCUUACACCCUCACCUUCAGGGAAAACUCUGUUUAACUUAAAGACUCGGUCAAAGAUCACACUGAGGAGCCUUCUACACCUCCAGGUUAGAUCUAAUUCCUCCUGCCUUGGAGUGUUUGUUUGUAACUUGGUAUUGUACAAUGUUGCUCUCAUCACUGGCUGUGGAAAUACUUUUUUAUUAACAUGUUUGUGUCUUCUACUAAAUCAAAUGCCCUUUGAACCUUAGAUGGAGCCUGGUACCUCAUAGAUGCUCAAUAAAUGCUUGUUUUGAAAGCUAUAGAUACAUAUAGAUGCAGACAUAGGUAUACAGAUGUAAAAAUGAGAGAGCAAUGUGUGACUUGUCUCUGUACUGUCUUAAAAGUUAAGGAUAUUAAGCCUAUUUCCUAAAACAUUGACUAUACUCUCCAAAUUUGUCAAACUAAAAUUUAGCCUGGUUUAUAAUGCUGUUUAAGUUUGCCUUUAUAUUCACCCAGAAAGGCCGGGCCUGAUCAGAGUAGGGAAUGGGACCCAGAGAGUAAAAUAAGGAGGGGAGAAUUCCUGCAAUCUGCCUUUCUGGAGCCGAACUCUGCUACAAAAGAGGCCUGUUAAUAUAGUGUGGCCAUUUGGCCAGGUAGGAAAAGAAAGCCUAUCUGUAUAGCUUUACGCAGUAUCCCAAGGGUUGCACACUAUCCCUGGCAGCCGAGAAGCUGCCAGUCCAAAGUGGGACAAAAGUUUCCACCAGAUAAAGCCAUUAACAUAUAGAACCCAUGCACCAAAGCCCAGGUUCAGCCUCACACCUGUUUAUACCUUCUUACCCAACUUCUGUUUGUUUCAUUGAUGUCUGUGAUGCUGGUUUGUACCCUUGCACCUUCUGGAGACUCAGAAGCCUGCUGCCAACUAUGCUCAUCUUCCUAUGGUUCCGUUGAGCUUAACUGUUGUCUGUUUGGCAGUGGUUUCAGGACAACAGGGACCUAGGUGUUUAACCCCUUGCUUGGUUGGCCAUAUGCAAGAUCACCUACCUCACUGUGUAGAUUCAUAUAACAGCGAUGAUAACAGUGUGACCAAGGUAAUUCAAACAAUUUUUGAAUCACUUAUGACUUGAUCUGAGGAAGGUGAUUUAAGAUUUUUUUCCCCAGUAAAUCAUAGUAAUGCCUAGAAUUUAACAGAAAAAAUUAAAGAAGGAGGGAAUUUUAGGUUCACUCUUCCUUUUAUGGAGAACGAUGUCCACUGGUGAGAAGACUGUAACUGAAAACACAUCACUUCUGUCAAGCAAACUAGAAAUAUUACUAAAUCGAUCGUAGUGGAAAUAAGUAUUUGUUUUUAAAGACACAUACACAGGUGAUAUUUAAACAUUUUUAAAACAUUCUUUAUUUUGGAUAAGUGUGUCUUUCUAAUGCUCUUCAAUGACAUUUUUAACUUUGGUCAUGAAAAAAUGGCUACCCUUGGGACAGAGAAUCAAGUUUCAACAAUAUCUUUAAUUUUACACAAAAUUCCAUAUCAUACUUACGUACAGAUAUAUACUUUGGGUGGAUAUUGUGUUAAAAAAUUUUAAUCUCUCCAAAGAAAAUUUUUUUGGGGAGGUGGAGAAAACCUUUUUUUUUUAUUAUUUGAAAGAUAUUAUAUGACCAUUAUUUAAGUUUUUAGAAAAAUGUGAAAAAGUUUUAAAAACACAAAAUUCACCCAUAAGCACCAACCCCAGAAAUAAUCUUAUUAAUAUUUUUGUGUAUUUUCUUCCAGUCUUCUGUUUUUAAGUGUUUAUUGACUAUUAGCCAGCUUGGGAUUAUUCUGCGUAUAUAGUUUUAUAACCUUAUAGUAUCUAAUAUGAUUUUGUCUGCAUGUUCACUUAUUUAAAGUAUAUAUAAUUAUCAUUUGAAUGGCUACAUUAUAUUGUGUAAUAUGCAUAAUAAUGCAGAAGGUACCAUCAUAUGCAGUUUCCUCUAUUUUAUGGACAUUUAGUUGCUACCUUUGUUAUUAUAAAUAAUACAUAUGAAUAUUUUUAUAGAUAAGAAUAGUUAUCUACGUUCAUGAUCAUUUAAUUUGUAUAAACUCCUGAAAGUAUACUGGGUCAAAUGGCAUGGGAACAUUUAAAGCUCCAAUGUAUUUGGCUAAAUUGCUUUCUAGAAUGGAAAAGCAAUUUAUACCCCCACCGGCCAUGUUAAGUAUUAUUUUUAUAUAGCUUAAACUUUUUCUUCUCACCGAAAUAUAAUUGACAAACAAUAUCCUAUUAGUUUCAGAUGUGCAUCAGAGUGAUUAAAUAUCUUUAUACAUUAUGAAAUGAUCCCUGUGAGUCUAGUUUCCAUCUAUCAUCAUACAAAGUUAUUAUAAUAUUAUUGACAAUAUUCCCUAUGCUGUUCAUUAUAUCCCCAUGACUUAUUUUAUUUUGUAACUGGAAGUGUGCAACCCUUAGUCCCCUUCACCUAGUCUGCCCUCUGGUAAUCAACAAUCGGUUACCUGUAUUUGUGAGUCUGUUUCUGUUUUGGUUUGUUUGCUUGUUUCUUUUUUAGAAUCCACAUAUAAGUGAAAUUGUAUUGAUGAAGUGUAGAAUCAGAAAAAUGUUCACCUUUAGGCCAGCAACCUGACCUAUGGCCUGUAUAGUUUUGAUAAGGAUCAAAUAAAUGCUGGUUGCUAUAUUCUUAAAGGGUCUUGUGAUGGCCUGUAAAUCUCAUUGAUAGUUAAUAACAAACUCAAUGAUAAAUACCAGAGAAAUCUUGCAAAAGCAGUUUUAUGAGUAGAAUUUUUGAAGAAGACAUUUAUGAUCUAGUACUCCUUGUAUGUCCUCCUCCCCCUUGAGCACUAAGCACAUAACCACCAGCUUCAUAGAGCAUAAGUGCAGCUCUUUCUGCCCACAGGUCCUAUCCCUGUGCUACUUGAAUAAACCUACUAUGUUGCACAAUAAAAUGUCUCAAGGAUUCUUUCCUUUUUUUUUUUUUAAAGUUUAUUUAUUUAUUUUGAGAGAGAGAAAGAGAGAGAGAGAGAACACAAGCCGGGGAGGAACAUGGAGAGAGGGAGAGAGAGAAUCCCAAGCAGGUUCCUCACUGUCAGCACAGAGUCCCACAAGGGGCUCAAUCCCAUGAACCAUGAGACCAUGACCUGACCCCAAAUCAAGAGUCCAACGCUUAACCAACUGAGCCACCCAGGUGGCCCUCGAGGAUUCUUUCUUGACAACAGUGUUCAAUGAUCCCAAAGCAAUAUGGCUUUUGUCUUUCUCUGUCUGAUAUAUUUCACUUAGCACAAUACCCCCUAGGUUCAUUCAUGUUGCUAUAAAUGGAAAGACUUCAUUCUUUUUUAUGAAUGAAUAGGAUUCUAUCAUACACAUAUACCACAUCUUCUUUAUGCAUUCAUCUAUUGGUGGACAUUUGGGUUGCUUCCCUACCUUGGCUAUUGUAAAUACAGGCUUACUUUGGAGAAAUUGUGGGUUCAGUUCCAAACCACUGCAAUAAAGCACGUGCUACAAUAAAGCGAGUCAAAUAAAGUUUUUGGUGUCCCAAUGCAUACAAAAGUUAUGUUUAUACUGCAAUGUACCCUGGUAAGUGUGCUAUAGCAUUAUGUCUUAAAAAAACAAUGUGUAUAUCUUCAUUUAAAAAUGUCAUGGGGUGCUCAGUGGCUCAGUCAGUUAACCGUUGGACUUCAGUUCAGGUCAUGAUCUCAUGAUCCAUGAGUUUGAGCCCUGCAUCGGGUUCUGUGCUGACAGCUCAGAGCUUGGAGCCUGCUUCAGAUUCUGUGUCUUCCCUCUCUCUCUCUCUGACUCUCCUCCACUUGUGCUCUCUUUCUCUCUCAAAAAUAAGUAAAUAAAUACAUACAUACAUACAUACAUACAUACAUACAUACAUAAAUAUUUAUAAAAAUAUAUCACAUCACUAAUAAAUGCUUUCAGCAAUUUGUAAUCUUUUUACUGGUGGAGGCAUUUGCCUCAAUGUUGAUGGCUGCUGACUGAUCAGGGUGGUGGUCGGGGUGGCUGUGGCAAUUUCUUAAAAUAAGACAGCAGUGAUGUUUGCCAAAUUGAACUGCUCUGAUGAUGCAGAAAGAUGGAUGCUGUAGGGUUAGAGUAAGUGGAUUUCUUUCACUUAUGGUCUAGUUGUUAUUUAAACUGCUAGGUUUGGUUUUUUUGUUUGUUUGUUUUUUGGGGGUUUUUUUUGCUGUACUCCAGGGCAGAUGAGGCUACCCUUAGUGAUAUCCUUCACUAAGUGCAAAUCAAGACUUUCUUGCUUCAGUAUUUGAGCUUAGAUAAUUUUUUGAAAGUCCACAAUUUGGAAAUAUAACUAUUUCUAAAAGUGAUGUAAUACAGUCCAUAAAAACUCUUUCCAUGCUGUACUUACAUCCAUCCAUGGAUAAGCAGGUGUAGCACAGUACCUCCACAGAGGAAGCAUUUGUUAAACCUGCAACAGAUAUAGACAUGGUAAGGAAGGAAAGAUAAAGGGGUCUAUGCAAUGAUACAAUGAGAGUCCUCACUUUGGGGAGUAUUCUUGGUGUAUUUAGGUUUUCCCCAGUUAGAUACCAGUUCUGGUUCUCACCGUCUGCUUCUACUCUCAGUACUGGUGGUUAGCAGCACCUUAACACUUACCUCGAUGUUUCUAGGAGCAUCAAAAACUAAUGAAGGAGCAGAGGAAUGCAAACAUUAGUUGUGAGCAAGGUGACAAAUUCACUCAGCUAUAGUCGAAUAUGGCUUAAUAAAAGGCAAUAUAUGAUUGUAUUAAUGGAUUUUAGGUUGAAGAGUAUUUGGUGACGAUUUGGGAAAACUAUAGCCAGACAUCCUCCCGCCAAACUCCCUGGGAUCAGCACUGGCCACCUUGCUGGCACUGUCCACUUUGGAAAUUCGGGGCAGUCCCCCUUAAUUUUCUUAAAAAACAAAACAAAAAAAAACCGUCAAAUAUCACUGACUCCUUGGCUGCUAGUUAACAUUCUAAUUAUCAGUUAACACCUUAGGAGGGAUUUGUACACUGUCAUGUGGGAGAGAGACCCAGUAGGAAGGAUGGCCUCCCAUCGGCUUAUACAUCUUGCAUCUUUUACCCAAUUUAUCCUCACAUAUCCUGCCCUGGAGGACAGUAACAGUAUAUUUUCAUAUUACCAAUGUGGAAAUUCUGAAAGGGAAUAGAGAAAAUGACUUGUCUCAUGUCACAGAGCUAAUUAAAGGGAGAGCUGCAUCUGGGCCCUUUGUCUCUGACUCCCUGAAGCUUAUGGCUUCCAAUUUUGAGACAGCAUCAUAAGGUGGAAGAAAUUCAGCCAAGAAACCAUACCAGCUUGCUUCUUCACCUGGUAAUUAUUGUCUGCAAAGAAAUCAGAGCUUUGAAAACAUCAAAAUCAGCUUCAAGAGUGGGGAUGACUGAGCAGUAUACAAAUUAGUAAAGUUAAAAAAAAAAGGUGAUUAAUUGUUUAAAAAAUUUACAACCUCAUUAUAAGACUGGCCUUUUCAAAGGUGGUCUUAUUAGUUUCAGGACCUUUGGCUAUUUAUACUGACAAAAAUUGAUUCUUUUUUCAGCUCAUUCACAAAAAUCUUCCUUCAAGUGCUUGGAUUUCCAUAGGAGACAAAAGGUCACAUUCUUAUUCAUAACCAAAUUCGAAGAGAUUUUGAGCUAACCUGCACUGGGAAAGAUAUUUCUAACUCUAAUAACACAUUUACCUUCCAGAAAAAGAAACAAACGUGCCUAAGAAAAUCUCUCUAGAAUUUAUUUGCCUGUAUUUUUAUCCCUUUUACUCCUGCCACCUUCCCCAGAGUGAAUGUAACAACUUGUUAAAAAAAAAAAAAUCACCUGGACAAUUCGAAAAUCUAAAAAAUAACACCAAUAGAAAACUAAUAUGUGCUCAAUGUAGAAAAUUUGAAAAAUACCAAAAUAUUUUUAAUAAAACCAAAUCACCCUAAUAUCACAAGCUAGAGAUAAUCACAGUUACAGUGGAGUGAUUCUAUACGUAUCCACGUGCACGUGCGUGUGCACACAAAGGGUACACGUGUAUGCUGAUGAAUGAUUGGGACCAUAUUGCAUAUACCACUAGGGAUGGCAGAUAUAGAGCAUGUGUACCACUCCUUCCUGCCUUUUUUGCCCAUGGCAGAUAUUACUGAUCACAGCUUUCUUUCCUGCUGAGCCCAGAUGCUAUGUCAGAAUAUGCUUCAAUGCAGCACUCCAGAAAGCCAAUACCAAAAUAUUUCAAAAGCUGUCUCUGAUGACUCCUGUUCUGUAUCUUGAUUUUUUCCAUUAAUAUUCUGGUGUGAAUUUUCUGAGAUCACUAACAUUAUUUGAAAUUUUUAUAUGACUGCAUAAUAUUCGUAAGAAGUAUACAGCUAUUUACUCCAUAAUGUUGAGUAUAUGUUAUUCCAUAAAUUUUGCUGUUAUAAAGAAAGCCAUGGUAAAUAUCUUUGUACUUCAAAUUUUGACUGAAACUCUUGACUGUUAAACAGGGACAUUUUCCAAGUUUCCUUAGAAGUGGGUUCAUAGGAUCAAGGAUUGAAACAUUUUUUAUUACUUCUCAUUUAUUUAGCCAAAUUGCUUUCCAGAAAAAUUGGACCACUUUCAUGAGAAGGUUAUUAGAAUCUUGGUCUUAACAUUCUUCACCGGCAUAAAAUAUUAACAUAUUUCAAAAUCUUUGCUAAUUUGUUAAGGGGAAAAAUGUAUACAGUUUAAGUUUGCAAUUCUUUUUCCAUUAAUAAUGUAAAGUAUCUGUGUCUAGUUUUAGAUCCUAUUUCUAUUGAGAUGCUAAAGUUUUGUUAUUGAUUUGUAUAUUAUAGACAUAAAUGCUUUGUGGGUGAUGUUAUUUCUCAGUUUUUUAUUUAGCUUAUGGUAUUUCCUAACAUCUGGAAGGUUUCAAUUCUUUUUGUAGACAAAUCUGUUUAUCUUUUCCUCUGUGACCUCUUGUAUUUCUUUAUGCUUAUAAAAUUCUUCCCUGCCCAAAGAGAAGGAAAAUAUUUACCUAACUCUCUUUUCAGCAUUCUUCUGGUUACACAAAGAACAGAAUACAUCAUGACUGAAAAACAAUAUAUUUCUUUAAAUUUUCUAAUGUUUAUUUAUUUUUGAGAGACAGAAAGAAUGCAAGUAAGGGAGGGACAGAGAGGGAGGGAGACACAGAAUCUGAAGCCGGCUCCAGGCUCUGAGCUGUCAGCACAGAGCACAACGCAGGGAUCGAACCCACAGAUUGAGAGAUCAUGACCUGAGCUGAAGUCGGACGCUUAACCAACUGAGCCACCCAGGCACCCAGAGAAACAAUUUUUAAAGAAAGCCAUGUCUGUGUCUUGUAAAACCUGUAAUCAUCAGGUCAGCCUUAGAAGAAAGCAGCCUGCUGUGUGCUGUAGUCUAACUGACCUGAGAAAAUCUUGCAUCAAAAUGGCAACCUCCUCAUCCAUUGUUACGUUACUAUAGAUUUAUUCUGUGGGGCCCCGAAGGUUCUUUGUUUCUUAAAGUUCUUCGUCCCUGAAGAGCAUCAUCUCAGAGUUAUUAGCUAACAUAUUCAUUACUCAUUAAUAUUCCUUUGGAUUUUCUGCCUGCCUAAUAAUCCAUUAGUACAAGGCUUAGCAAAAAUGAUACCUCAAACUAAUACUUUGGGUACCAAGGGAAGAAAGAGGCAUAGAUUCUAGAGGUUGAGAAAUUUCUUGAUUCACAUCUCCUGGGAUCUGACAUUAAGAGGCCGGUAGCCAGAAUAUAUGAUGAUUUAGUGCAGUCCUUACUCUAGCUUUAGAGUGUAUAUGAACAGACUUUCAGGAAUCCCUUUGAUUCUAUCAUGGAGCUUUUAUUUAUUUAUUAUUAUUAUUAUUUUAAUGUUUAUUUAUUUUUGAGAGAGAGAGCGAGACAGAGCGUGAGAGGGGGAGGGCCAGAGAGAGAGAGGCACAAAAUCCGAAGCAGGUCCAGGCUCUGAACUGUCAGCACAGAGUCCGACGCGGGGCUUGAAAGACGGACCGUGAGAACAUGACCUGAGCCAAAGUCGGACGCCCAACUGACUGAGCCACCCAGGUGCCCCUAUCAUGGAGCUUUUAAUAACACAUACUCCUGUACUGUUGGAUCAGUGCCAGACUAAGACACUGUGUGCUGCUGUGACCCCACAUGCAAGCUCUAUUUUAUUGGAAUAGAACUUGCUCAUUUGUACUUUCUGUCCCUGGAAGUAUCCUGUUUCAUAACAGUAUAAUCAUCAUCAUUAUCUGCCAUUUAUUGGGUACGUAUUAUUUAUUAGUUAAUCCUAACGAUCACCUUAUGCAGUUGAUAUUGACUGUUAGAAUGGCUUUGUAAAGGAAGCUCUAAUUCUCAGAGUGGUGAAAAGCCUAUUUAAGCACACAUACCAUUUCAUAACAUAUUUACAGGGUGACUUCUCAGUCCCAGGCACUGUUUCAAGAGCAUUAUCUUAUUUAAUGACCACAACAAUCUUCUCAGGCCAUUCUAGGAAUGAAGACACAGAGGCUUACACAGAUUAAAUACAGUAACUUAAGUACAGUAACUUGCUCUGUGAGUGUUCCUCAACAUGCGCAAACAUUUCUAAUACAUUUGAACUUGAUAAACGAGCGAUCUCUUGCAAUACAAGUAGUAUGUGAUGCCGAAUGUCACGUGAUCACAACAGAGCCAAUGGUUCUUGAAAUUCACUUUGAUAUACAAGUGCUUUGGAUUACAAGCAUGUUUUUGGAGCAAAUUAUGCUCAGAAACCAAUGUAUUUUUGUUACUGUAUUUUGAUUCAGAUCACACGUAACUGGAAGGUGAUAGAACUAAGAUUUAAAGCCAGGCAGACAAAUCCCUUCGGUUUCUCCCCUUCCCCAUCCAUUGCUGUGUUAACAUUUAAGUAGCAGAGGUGAGGUUCAAAACAAGCGCUACUGAUUGCAAAGCUCCUGCUCUUAAACAGGGGAGUCUUCUAGGUGUGGUGAGUAAGCAGCAAUGUUUUGCAAUCACUUGUGAACUGUGUUGUAUCACAUUAAUAAUUAAAGCUAAUCAUUAAAGCAUGAAAGUUUGUGAAUGUUGUACUUUGAAAUCAAUUAGAAUGAAUUAAAAGUUUCCUAUAAUGUCAUUUUACUAAUUUUCAUUCUUAAAUACCUUCUUGAAUGGGAAAAGGUGGGCCAAGGAAUCCAGACAGGGCAGAACAGGUAUGGCUUAUCUCUGCUCCAUGAUGUUGGGGUUUCACCAGUGGUUGGUGACUUGAAUCAUCUACAGCAGUGCUUCUCAAAUCACUGGGAAACUUAGAUGCAAAUUAUAGAGUCCCACCCCAGAUGUACUGAACUAGAAACUUUAACAGUGGGACUCAAUAAUCUAUGUUUUUAACAAGCCCUCACGUGACUCUAUUGCAUGCUAAUAUUUGAGAACACUGAUCUAGAGUAUUCUUCUCUCACAUGUAUGCAUUUCAGAGAGGAUGACUCAAAAUGAGAAGUCAACUGGGGGGAUGUCAGUAAGAGCACUUACGCACUGCUCUUCCAUGGAUUUGGGCUUCUCACUCUGUGGCUCUCGGGCUCUUAGAUUUCCUGAAAGGACACAUUCAAAGAGCAAGAAUUCAAAAGAGAACCAGGUGGAAAUUGUGUGGCCUCUUCUGAUCUAGCUCAAAAGUCAGGGUCACCUUCACUCUAUUCAUCUCAAUUGGAGCAAUCACAAGCCUACUCAGAUUCGUGGGUUGGGGGUAAAGACCACACUUCUUGUCAUGAAACAUGUCGAAAGCUUUGGAGCCAAUAUUUUAAAACUUCUACAGGCUGCCCUCUGCCUUCUAGCCUGACGGCCAUAUGCAAGAUAUACUCAUCCACUUGCAGGCUCCCCAAACAUCUCACCGCAUUUGGCAUCAGGCUCAGACCUGAGGUCUAUAGGAACAUGAUGUGACUAGUUGAUGGUGAAUAUUUAGUGGUUAAAAAUGCAUUGAGAAACACUUAUCUUCGCCAUUCAGUUAUACUUUCCUUAGGAGGAUACGACUUUUUGAGUGCAGAGCUCUUAUAAAUGUGACUUUUAAAAAAUCAAUACAUAACACAGCAUAAAAUAUAUAACAGGACCUAGAGUGUGUGCUCAGUCAGUUAUUAUUGAGUUGAGUUUUCAUUGAACUGAGUUUUAAAAUUUAAUAUUUGAACUUCUCCUGUAUUCUAUCACACAUAUACAUGUAGGUUAGUGUAAUGUUCACUUUUCCUUUUUCUAUAUUUAACACACUGCAACAAAGCACAAAUCUCUAAGAAUCGCGGGAGACAUGACAUAGAGAAGCUAUUAUCCUGGGUAUCUCCUAGCACUAUAUUUCUUACAAAUAAUUUUCACUUAGAGCUGAAGGAAGCAGUGGUUACCAUAGUCUGAGACAAUAGAGGCUGGUGACCUCUUGACUGGAUCGCUUAAGUUUAGGUGAAAAUAACUGCUGAAGUGCCUUAUACUCACAUUUUCUAAAUUCUAAGUGACAAUUUAAAUUUGUCUUCUCUAAGGCUCAUAUAUGAAUUUUCAGGUGUUCAGUUUUUGCGCCAAUUCUCAGUUUGAUUUUACAACACAAUCUAAAUGAGGACUUUCAAGAAUGCUUAACAAGAGCUCAUUCCACAUACAGGAGUUAACUUGGAGCCUGGUUUGAUAAUGAAAUAAAACUCUAGUAUUCAUUUGUUUUUAUUAUCUGGUCGGUGAUUUUAUUAACCUAUUUUUGAUUUCUGGUGGCUGUGCCUUUGAGUUAAAACAAAGCAUUAGUGUAUCAUUCCUCCGGCUUUCUUGCUAUGCUCUGAAAACGAUGCAUUUCUAUUUCUUAAGUUAACUGGAUAUAUCCUUUUAAUUCUUAACAUACAUAUAUACUUUAGUUAGCAUUGUUAGGUUUUCUAGAAAGCAUAUAACGCAGAUUUAGUUGUGUAUGGUAAAGAAUCUUAUAUCUUGUAUCCCAGGUUAUAUGUUAACAUGAAUUUGGAAGGGAACGAGGAGAAGACACUGGGGAAGACAGUGGGAAGUAAAACAGUUUAAGCAGUCGGUUGAAGGAACAGGAAAUUAUAUAGGGAUUAGAUUUUAUGUUUUUUUAAAGGUUUUAUUUAUUUAUGUUUGUUUAUUUUAAUGGUUUUAUUUAUUUAUUUAAGUUAUUUUGAGAGAGAGAGAGAGAGAGAGCCUGUGCACAUGCAGAGGAAGGGCAGGGAGAAAGAGAGACAGAAUGCCAAGCAGGCUUCGCUCCAUCAACACAGAGCCUGAUGCAGGGGCUCAAGCUCACAAACGAUGAGAUCACGACCUGAGCCGAGAUAGACAGUUGGACGCUUAACUGGCCGCACCAUCCAGCCACUCCUAUGGAUUAGAUUUUAAUGCCAAGUAUUCUACAUUGUCACCAUCGGGGCAAAGGACUUUUGAGAGGCUGAAACACAAAUUACUCUUGUCUAGCCGACCAGCAACUUCUACAGUAACUGCGAAUGCAUAGUGAUUAUUGUUUAAAACGUAGUUCAAGCAAUUUAGUGCAGUCGCAAAGAAAGUGUGAAAACUUGUGGCCACCUAUAAUGUUACGUUGUGUGUUCGUGCAUGUGUACACACAUUUGUGGACAAGUUACCAAUGCAAGAAAGGAAGGCUCAGUCAGGAGACUAUGUGUGGUAUCGAGUCUAAACUCAAUCGUUCCUGGUUUUCGGUAGUUUCCAUGGAAUUUUCAAUGUUGUUUCUUUUGUUCUUGUCCUUCAGCAUCCUGUAAAUGAAGCUGUUUCUUUAAAAUCGGUCCAUUUACUGGAGAGUGUUAUGCUCAGUGAAAUAAGCCAUACUGAGAAAGACAAAUACCAUAUGUUUUCACUCUUAUGUGGAUCCUGAGAAACUUAACAGAAACCCAUGGGGGAGGGGAAGGAAAAAAAAAUAAAAAGAGGUUAGAGUGGGAGAGAGCCAAAGCAUAAGAGACUCUUAAAAGCUGAGAACAAACUGAGGGUUGAUUCGGGGUGGGAGGGGGGGGGGCUAUGGGUAUUGAGGAGGGCACCUUUUGGGAUGAGCACUGGGUGUUGUAUGGAAACCAAUUUGACAGUAAAUUUCAUAUAUUGAAAAAACAUUAAAAAAUAAAAUAAAAUCAAUCCAUUUGUUCAUUCAUUCGCUUACUUACUCACGUAGGCAUUAUUGCACCAAUAGCAUCAAGUGGGAGGCUGAAGGUACAAAGAUGACUACAGCAUGGUUUCUGUUUUCCAGGAGCUCACGUGUAUAGAGAUAAGUAAAUAUAUAUAUAUUAAGCUGCAGUGAAAGCUUUGAUAGUGGUAGAGGCAAGGGCCAGGACUGGGAUUCUAUAUGUGUGUUACAUUGUGCCUAGGAGUGAGGGAUAAGGAAAAGCUUCACAGAUAAGAUAGCUCACAUGGAUAAAAACUGAAAAGAAUCUUGAGGUAGGAGAGAAGUAGUGAGCAUUCAUAUCAUUCUUUGACUUAAAAACGUGUUCAGUUCUGAUUCUGUCAUCUAGCACGUUAUUGCUCUCUGUGAAAUCAUCUAUAUGUUUUAUGUCUUCUGUGUAGUUAUCCAUUGUUGAUUGCAAACAAAGUUCAGCAGAAGAAGCUAAAGGCAAAAAGAACUGUGAAACAUAUUACCAAAUGCUUCCCUCCAUUGUUUAACCAUCUAUAACCUGCCCAAUUAAAUUAUUUUUCAACCCACAUUUCUCUAUCGAAUGUACAGGGAUAUUACAAGAGACUUUUCAAAUGCUUUGCUGUGAUAAACGUACAUUCUGUAGUAUUUGGAAUACUUCUGGCUACAAAAAAACUCAACCCCAUUGGCUUAAACACUAAUAAUAAUACGUAUUAGCUUACACAAUAAGAAGUCCAGAGGCAAAAGAGUUCCAGGAUUGGUUAAUUCAGCCACUCAAUGAUGUAAAGGAUCUGGAUUUUAUCUGUUUGGUAUGCUUUGCCAUGCUGAGUAUCCUGGAUCAUCUCUAGUGGUCACAAAAUAGCUGCAGUAGUGCCAGGCAUUGCACCUAGACAAAACACUGUCUAGUAGAAGAGGGUCUCUUUCUCUAUGUUUCUUUAAAAACAAAACAAAACAAAACAAAACAAAACAAAACAAAACAAAACAAAACAAAACAAAACAAAACAUAAAGAAGCCUCCACAGUGGACUUCUAUCUUGUUUCAUUGAUCAAAAUUGCACCACAUGCUAGUCACGGGCAAAGGGUUCCCAUGAUUGGCAUGGACUCAGCCUUUACUCAUCAGCUAGAAAUUAGAAUAUCCUUCCUAAGCACUUGACCACAGGAAGUAGGCCAGAGCAGUGAAACAAAAGAAAACAAAACUGGGAUCUUUCAGGAAGGAGGAUUGAGGGGGGAAUGGAUUUUUGGUAGAUAACCAAGACAGAUCGCUAUGCCUAUGGCAUAGGAUGUUCCAAAACAUGAACAUAUGGUGCGCCUCCUAUAUAACAUGAUGUGUCUUGAAAAACAACAUACGUUGUGUCAUUACUUUCCAAGAACAGUAAUUUUUCUAGAAUAAAAUACAGUAUUUCUGUCUCUACAUGUCAAAAGCAAUACAUAUAACAUUUAUAGGAGAUCAUAUUUCUGAAUUUUUUCACUAUUAUUUUUUUUUACUGACCAUUUUGUUGUUUGCUAGUGAUUGGUUCUAAAUGACUGGCUAUGUUUACCAAAGACUUUUUUUUUUACAGUAUAGUAUAAAAAUUCUACAUAUAUGUUUAAUGUUUUAAUGAUUUUUGCAUUACAUUCCUUUCAUAUUCUCAAGCAAUACAGGCCCAUUGCAUUUCAGUAAUCGUACCUACCAAGUUGAGUUAUUUACACAAAUCAUCUCUUAUGUAUCAGUUUCUACUUCUUUUUCCUAGUAUAAUUCUUAUACAUGUCCAGCAUUUAAUUGGGUUGAAGGGUUUAUACUUGAGACAUGAGUGUGCAUAUUGGAACAUUUGCAUUUUUGAAAUUUGGGGGACCAGAAAGUCUUACACGAAAGGCAAGAACAAAAAAACAAAACAAAACAACCAAAGAGGCCCAGACAAACAAAAACACUUUAAGUAUGGUAUUACACACAUCAGUGAGUAGAGAUGAGGUUGGUCUCCGCUCUUCAAAAUUUAUGUCAUGCAGGAAGCCUUCUCUUUCAAUUACUGGGUAAGGAGAACCUUGUUGAGGAUAAUUGUACAUCAGCCAAGAAGGGCCCAGAUCGUCCAGAGAACAUUGGGGUACCACUUCAAUGUCUUCUCCAAAUUUUGAAAAAAUAAUUCUACACUUAGAAAGUCAAUUUCUUUUUUUCCAUUUUUAUGAUAUUGGAAAUGAAAAAGUAAUCAUCCAAAUGAUUUCAACCUCUCAUUUGGAAGCUGAAUUGUUGCUGAUUGCUGUAAGCUGAAUUCUGUUUUAUUUACCUAGUAUUACUGCUGUUACUAGGAAACCAUGCUUCAUAGUUUAGUGUUUUACUGUGAAAUAUAAAAUGUCCAAUUAUUGCAAAGGUAUCUUGAUGUGUGAUUUAGCCUUUUAUGUUUAAAGCUUCUGCAUAUUUUUCUGAAAGUUAUUUUAUGAUGAAUUAAGGGACACAUGGUUAAUUUCUUUUCAAAUUUAUUUAUAUCAACCUCCCCAAAGCCGAUUUAUUGUUAUUUCAAAAAUAUUUGUAAAACUGUUCCAGAAUUGAGGAACCUCUCUAGUGAGUGCCUGGAUGGUUUUAUUAGGGUGGUUGAUAUAUUCCUCUGUACUUAACACUAUGGAGCUGUUUGGUUAAGCCCUAAGUGAACUUCUUGAGGAAAACUGCAUGAAGUCUGAAGCAUUCACUGUGUUAAGGGGAAAAUUUAUCUGUUGUAUCUGAUUUGUAGUGAUUUAUUAUUUUUAUAACAUACUAUACCCUUGGAAAACUAUUUUCCAAAAAUGUAUUAAUUUCCAUUUCUCUUUUGAAAUUUCCUAUAAUAUUGCAGAUGAAUUUAUAUGUCAUUUUCUAAACCUACUCUUCAGAGUGUCCAGAGGGUGAAAAUAUAUACUAGUACAAUAACAGCAAUUAUGGUAAUAUCCUAGAUUUAUAUUGUUCUUUCUGAUGAUUUAUCUUACUUAAUUUUGUGCUUGUGAUAACUCACACAAUAUGUGAUGAGAUAAUUAUUCCCAUUCUUACAAGUAAGAAAAUGGAUAUUUCGAUGAAUGAAAUGAAGUUUCCAACCUCAGACAACUGAUAAAUGCUAAAUCUGGAGCUUGAAGUUAGUUUUUUCAGACUUGAAAUCCAGUGUUGCAUUCUGUCUACUUGUAUAAUAGUGUUACCAUGUAUUUAAUGUAUAUGCUUGCUUAUCUGGAUUCUCUGAAUUAUGGUGAAAAAUGUUUCUUAUUGCAGAGAUUUUAUCUGAAAUAUUUAUUUUUUAAUCACUGACAAUGGAAAUAGAUUUAAUUCAAAUACUUAUAGGGUGCUUACAAAAUGCCAGGUUCUGUAUUAGGCUCUUGUAUAUUCAUUUCCCCUUUAUUGUUUCACUUAGUACUCUUUAGGGAUCUUCCAAUUCCCUUCUAAUCCUAGGAUUAUUUAAUUGUUAAGUGUCUGCCAUAUAGAAGACACAUGUUUGUAGAAGCUCUAACUUCUCCAGAUGAUGAAGUUAGUUGGGUUUUAGUGUUUAUUCUUCAUAGAAGUUAGGUCAGCGGUUCUAAAUUUUAUAAUUUAAAUGACCUCUUUGAAGAAUUCUACCAAGAUUUAUAGAUAGGGAUACCUGGAUGACUUAGCCAGUUAAGCAUCUGACUUCAGUUCAGGUCAUGAUCUUACGGUUUAUGAGUUCGAGGCUUGCAUCAGGCUCUCUGCUGUCAUCUCAGAGCCCACUUCAGAUCCUCUGUCCCCCCCGUCUCUUGACCCCUCCCCUACUCAUGCUCACGCUCUCUCUUUCAAAAACAAACAUUAAAAAAAAGAUUUACAGAUAGAGUUUUUUCUUUAAACUUGUAUUAUCAAUCCCUUAAUUUCUAGUUCUUAGUUUCUAUGUUUAAAGUUUUAUUGUUUUAAAAUAAUCCGCAAUGGAAGUUACAGUGAUACUGGACACUUAUGCGUUAGUCUAUGAAUAAAGAUCUGAAAUCAGGGCUUGGAUUUGGUUAUCUGGCAUACACUUGCUUAUUUAUAUUGAAAGAUGCAUUGAUUUUCAAAAAUACCAACAGUGGUAGUGUCUUUCCCAAAAGGUUAAGAUGAUUGUUUGUGAUUAAUACUACUUUUUAAGUCUAUCAGCAUACCUUCAGCCAUAGAAGCACACUAAAACCUGGGCCAUAUAUUUAAAAUUGGAAUUUGGUUCCUUGCUGCUAGGCUACUGAGGCAUGAAGAAUGGAGUCAGAGAUUCAGAACCUUUAGUAUUAAGGAAGGUAGCCGGCAGGAAUGAAAACAUUGAAGAAUAUUUUUUAGCAGUAAUAAUUAAGAGUUACCUGCCACCACUAUAAGUGGUCCUCUUAGCUAUCUCAAAAAGGGUGCUAUUAUAAUCUUCUGCCAGUUCAUGGGUGUGUGUAUGUGUGUGCAUGUGUGUGUGUGUGUGGUCAUACACUCUAAAUAGAUUUCAUAGGAAAUAGCUCUCUGCCCAUUUGCAGCAUUGUGGUUGCAGAUAUAUUAACCUUGACCAAGAAUGCACACAGCAGAGAAAAAGAAGUGAUAAGUCAAGAGUAUGCUAAUCACGGUUGCAGUGUUUUUCUAGAAAUGCCAUUGAGAAGGCAUCAGUAAAUAGUUAUUGAACUCCUAUAAUUUCUUUAAAUCAUUUAACAAAUAUUUCUAAGGACCUAUUGGCUACCAGUCACUUUAUUUGACCUGGGGAAAACAAUAAUGAAUAACAAAACGUCUUCUGACUUCAAAGACCUUUUAGUUUGGUGUGGCAAAGACAGACACAUAAAAUAAAAAUAAAUACAAUAAAGUAUUAAAAAUAAGUCAUCAUUAUCAAAGCAGGUUAUUACAGGAAUGCAAGGAGGAUCCAGUAGUUGAAAAUAUCCUAAGUCAGGGGAUUUAUACAUCAAAAGGGGAAAAUAUAUAAUCAUCUUCUUUGAUGCUGAAAAGGCAUUUGAUAAAAUUCAACACUUAUUUUUGGUAAAAUGUGUUUUUUGUAUGUUUAUUGAUUUACCCUGAGAGAGACAGAGAGAGAGAAAGAGAGAGAGAGAGAGAGAGAGAGAGAGAGAGAGAGAGAGCGCACAUGCAUGCGCACACACAGCAGAAGGGCAGAGAGAGAGGGAGAGAGAGAAUCCCAAGCAGGCUCCGUGCUGUCAGUGUGGAGCCCAAUGUGGGACUCCAUCCCACAAACCAUGAGAUCAUGACCUGAGCCAAAAUUGAGUUGGGUGCUCAACUGACUGAGCUGCCUAGGCCCCUCUUUUGGUGAAAUGUUUUGGUAAAAUAGAAAUAGAUGGAUACUUUUAACAUCCUAAAACAUAGGUAUGUCAAGGCUAACUCCAUCAUUAUACUGACUUGAAAAACAUUAGAAGCAUUCCCUUUCAACUCAGGAGUAAACUAAGAGAUCUUUACACAAUCAUUAUUAUCACAUAUCAUUGUUCUGGGUGGUUCUAUUGAUGCAAUAAUUCAAGAGAAAGCUAGAAAAUUGAUGCAAUAAUUCAAGAGAAAGCUAGAAAAAGCUAGAAAGGAUGCUAUGACAGUUUCCAGGCACAAGCCUUAAGACACUUACAACUUUCUCUUUCUGUCUCUUGGAAGCUCGCUUUUGGUACCUAGCCGCCAUACCGUGAGGAAGCCUAAGUCGACUGCAGGACGACCCACACUGACAGGUCCAUAGCCCUGAUGAGCCCUUGGGUGGUGGCAAGCACCAAUUUGCCGUCUUGAAAUCAGGUCCUGCGGAUCCUAGUCAAGCAGCCCCAAAUGAUGCUGUGAGGUAAAAAUGAGCUACCUCUUCUAAGCUCUGCCCCAAAUGAACAUCUGUGAGCAAAAUUAAUAUUUGCUAUUGUUUUAAGCCACUAAGUUUUGGAGUAGCUUACUGAUGCCAUGAUGGAUAAUCUGAAUGGGGUUAGCACCUAACCCCCAUUAGGGGGGGCACCUAGAAGGGGGUGCUGUCAUAACAAAACCCUGAGACAUGUGGCACCAGCUUUGGGACUGUGGUACAGUCAGAAGCUGAAAAGGCCUUGAGGAAAAUGUCAGUGAAAUCCUCAUACUUGUCGAGGAAAAUGUCAGCAGAAUUCUGAAGGCCUGGUGGGAUGGUGGUGAGAGGGAAUACAUCAGAGUAAGAACAUUCUUUCCUAAAUUGUUUAUAACUAAGAAAAGAAAAUUACAUAGUUUGAGGGCUUCUCUUCAGUGGCUAAGAGCAGAAACAAUGUUUGGGUUCUCAACAAAAAUAUCGUACCUUCACUUCAUUCCUGAUUUUGUAGAACAACUUUUAGUUUCAAAGUAGUUUCACAUAUAUGAUCUUAUUUUAUGUUUUAUUUUGUUAUUUUAUUUAUUUAUUUAUUUCACUGGAGAGCAAGACAGAGAGAGAGAGACAGAGGGAGAGAGAGACAGAGAGAGAGAGAAUCCAAAGCAGACUCCACACUCAGGGUGGAGUCCGACACGGGGCUCAAUCCCGUGACCCUGGGAUCAUGACCUGAACCAAAAUCAAGAGUCAGAUGCUCAACCGACUGAGCCACACAGGCUCCCCAAUCAUAUUUUCUACUUUAAACAACCAAUUGAAGUAAGCAAAUCAGGUAUUAAUGUAUGAUCCCACCUUGAGAUUGGCAGAUCAAGAAGCUAAGCCACACGAGUAUCUAGAGACAGGAGCAGUAGUAGAUCUGGCUUCUGUUGGUCCUGAUUCCAGACUGUGGCUUCCCACGGUGGGUGGUAAUGGAAGCUUCGCUACAAUUUGCACAGGGGGCAGGGGUAGUCAUAGGAACUGGAGAACAGCAGACAUGGCUUUCAGUGUUUGCGGCUCAGUAUUUGUCUUUCAGAACACACAUUCUGGGAGAAACGAACACUGUGCUUGUAUUGACUUGUUUUUCUUUCCUGUCCCAGCUCUUUAUAUUCUGAGUGUAGUUCUAAAUAAAUGUUUCAGCUUCUGGAGGGUUGGUUUUGGCUCCAGGAAGUUCAAUAUUUGAUGAGUUUGGAAACUGAGAAGCUGAUAAGAAACACAUCUAACACAGGUUGCUAUUAGAUUGCUUUUAUACUGUCUCCUAAAACUUAUAGUUAAAGGUGGAUCCUGGAUACAAUUCAUUGGUCCAAUUACAUAUAAUGUUUUUGUUUUGUUUUGUUUUGUUUUUUAAUAGGAAGAACCCACAGAGAAGUAUAGCAAUAAUUUGUGGAUGGGGCUUUAAAGCAGUCGCCUUUUGCAGGACACCUGCUUCUUUAAGAUAGUUGUAAGAAGACUACAGGCUACAUUUUCACCUCUGAAGUUGUGAAAAUAUGGUAGUAAUUAUCCAAGAUUUUUAACCAUAGUGCAAGAUAUCAAGAAGUUUGAAAUAAAGAAGAGAACGAGGUAACUUUUUGAUCUUUGGGUAAUCAGGAAACGACAAGAGUUUCUGAACCAAACUAUAUUAAUCUCUUAAGUUUUCUGCUUUAUUUGAAAAUUAGGCCACUGCUUCUUUGGCUCCCUGACUUCCCAGAGCACCCUCAUCCUGAGUGUUUUCCUCCAGUAAACACUGGGCUCACCUAUUGGCUUAUUUUUAUCAUUUAAAAAAUCAAACUGCAAUCACGAGUCACGUGUUUGGCAGCCUUCUGUCUUAAAGAAGCAGCACCAGCAUACCUGAAGCCCAGGUGAGCAGAGCUCUGGCCUCAAGACGACAGGGUUGCAGCAGAAGUAGGAACAUAAUGGGCCUUGGAAGGGAAGCCUAUGCAGUGUACGUGGCCAGCACACAUCACCACACGAAAUGAUGGCACCUAGAGGCAGGGGCAGCACUAGAUGUGGUUCCCGUUAGUCCUGCGGAGCACUUUCUGAACUAGAAUAUGAUCUACAAAUAUGAGUUGUUGAAUAAACUGGUCUCAGUGAGAUGUUGCAGUAGUUCAGGCAGUGCUUACGUACCCUGGAGCCAACU
This 41829-nucleotide long non-coding RNA is filed under the name Lynx pardinus (Iberian lynx). Lineage: Eukaryota; Metazoa; Chordata; Mammalia; Carnivora; Felidae. The record is from RNAcentral.